GUUGGGUUAAGUCCCGUAACGAGCGCAACCCUUGUCCUUAGUUGCUAGCAUUAAGUUGAGAACUUUAAGGAGACUGCCGGUGACAAACCGGAGGAAGGUGGGGACGACGUCAAGUCAUCAUGGCCCUUACGAGUAGGGCUACACACGUGCUACAAUGGCGUAUACAGAGGGCGGCGAGCUAGCGAUAGUGAGCGAAUCCCAUAAAGUACGUCGUAGUCCGGAUUGGAGUCUGCAACUCGACUCCAUGAAGUCGGAAUCGCUAGUAAUCGUGAAUCANAACGUCACGGUGAAUACGUUCCCGGGCCUUGUACACAC
This 315-nucleotide ribosomal RNA is filed under the name uncultured Gammaproteobacteria bacterium. Its description in RNAcentral is "bacterial SSU rRNA". It matches the Rfam family "Bacterial small subunit ribosomal RNA", at positions 1074 to 1390 of the family's 1533-position model. The record is from RNAcentral. Lineage: Bacteria; Pseudomonadati; Pseudomonadota; Gammaproteobacteria.